UAGGGAAUAUUGCGCAAUGGACGCAAGUCUGACGCAGCAACGCCGCGUGGGUGAUGAAGCUCCUUGGAGUGUAAAACCCUGUCAGUGGGGAAGAAACGUAUGAGUAGUAACUGACUCGUACCUGACGGUACCCACAGAGGAAGUCCCGGCUAACUCCGUGCCAGCAGCCGCGGUAAUACGGGGGGGACGAGCGUUGUUCGGAUUUACUGGGCGUAAAGGGCGCGUAGGCGGACCUUCAAGUCGGGUGUGAAACCUGUCGGCUUAACUGACAGCCUGCACUUGAUACUGUUGGCCUUGAGUACAGGAGAGGAGAGCGGAAUUCCUGGUGUAGCGGUGAAAUGCGUAGAUAUCAGGAAGAACACCGGUUGCGAAGGCGGCUCUCUGGACUGAUACUGACGCUUAAGCGCGAAGGCUUGGGGAGCAAACAGG
RNAcentral lists this ribosomal RNA (429 nucleotides) under uncultured bacterium. Its description in RNAcentral is "bacterial SSU rRNA". It matches the Rfam family "Bacterial small subunit ribosomal RNA", at positions 355 to 776 of the family's 1533-position model. The record is from RNAcentral.